RNAcentral lists this ribosomal RNA (1441 nucleotides) under uncultured organism. Its description in RNAcentral is "SSU rRNA". It matches the Rfam family "Bacterial small subunit ribosomal RNA". The record is from RNAcentral.
CUCAGGAUGAACGCUAGCUACAGGCUUAACACAUGCAAGUCGAGGGGCAGCAGGAUCUAGCAAUAGAUUGCUGGCGACCGGCGCACGGGUGAGUAACACGUAUCCAACCUGCCGAUAACUCGGGGAUAGCCUUUCGAAAGAAAGAUUAAUACCCGAUAGUAUAAUCAGACCGCAUGGUUUGAUUAUUAAAGAAUUUCGGUUAUCGAUGGGGAUGCGUUCCAUUAGGCAGUUGGUGAGGUAACGGCUCACCAAACCUUCGAUGGAUAGGGGUUCUGAGAGGAAGGUCCCCCACAUUGGAACUGAGACACGGUCCAAACUCCUACGGGAGGCAGCAGUGAGGAAUAUUGGUCAAUGGACGCGAGUCUGAACCAGCCAAGUAGCGUGAAGGAUGACUGCCCUAUGGGUUGUAAACUUCUUUUAUAUGGGAAUAAAGUUUUCCACGUGUGGAAUUUUGUAUGUACCAUAUGAAUAAGGAUCGGCUAACUCCGUGCCAGCAGCCGCGGUAAUACGGAGGAUCCGAGCGUUAUCCGGAUUUAUUGGGUUUAAAGGGAGCGUAGGUGGACAGUUAAGUCAGUUGUGAAAGUUUGCGGCUCCACCGUAAAAUUGCAGUUGAUACUGGCUGUCUUGAGUACAGUAGAGGUGGGCGGAAUUCGUGGUGUAGCGGUGAAAUGCUUAGAUAUCACGAAGAACUCCGAUUGCGAAGGCAGCUCACUGGACUGCAACUGACACUGAUGCUCGAAAGUGUGGGUAUCAAACAGGAUUAGAUACCCUGGUAGUCCACACAGUAAACGAUGAAUACUCGCUGUUUGCGAUAUACAGUAAGCGGCCAAGCGAAAGCAUUAAGUAUUCCACCUGGGGAGUACGCCGGCAACGGUGAAACUCAAAGGAAUUGACGGGGGCCCGCACAAGCGGAGGAACAUGUGGUUUAAUUCGAUGAUACGCGAGGAACCUUACCCGGGCUUAAAUUGCAUUUGAAUAUAUUGGAAACAGUAUAGCCGUAAGGCAAAUGUGAAGGUGCUGCAUGGUUGUCGUCAGCUCGUGCCGUGAGGUGUCGGCUUAAGUGCCAUAACGAGCGCAACCCUUAUCUUUAGUUACUAACAGGUCAUGCUGAGGACUCUAGAGAGACUGCCGUCGUAAGAUGUGAGGAAGGUGGGGAUGACGUCAAAUCAGCACGGCCCUUACGUCCGGGGCUACACACGUGUUACAAUGGGGGGUACAGAAGGCAGCUACCUGGUGACAGGAUGCUAAUCCCAAAAGCCUCUCUCAGUUCGGAUCGAAGUCUGCAACCCGACUUCGUGAAGCUGGAUUCGCUAGUAAUCGCGCAUCAGCCAUGGCGCGGUGAAUACGUUCCCGGGCCUUGUACACACCGCCCGUCAAGCCAUGAAAGCCGGGGGUACCUGAAGUACGUAACCGCAAGGAGCGUCCUAGGGUAAAACUGGUA